Molecule: long non-coding RNA, 249 nt
Organism: Camponotus floridanus (Florida carpenter ant)
Lineage: Eukaryota; Metazoa; Arthropoda; Insecta; Hymenoptera; Formicidae
Exons: 3
Source: RefSeq, a predicted model, not a curated record
GCAUUGGCCGUAUUUUUAACGAAAACUUCCGUAUUCAAACAAACCGAAUUUUCAAGUGAAGCGAUCGACUUGGGAAUACGUAUUCGAAUAUAUCCAUUACGCAUUAGAGUCUGUGGUUUAUUUAAUUUAGAUAACAGUCUUGCAUACUCGGUGUUUGGUAUUAUAUUGACAUAUGUGGUCCUAGCUUUGUCUAUUCAUUGAACUUGGAUGAUAAGCUAAACGAACAAAUACGAGAAAUAAAUAAAUAAA